ACCCUAUUAUUUUUAAUAUAAAAUUUCAAGCCGGAGUAUUAAUAGUUAUGAUCUUAAAACUUAAAGAAUUUGGCGGUAUUAUAGGUCUUUUUAGAGGAAUCUGUUAAGUAAUCGAUAGUCCACGUUGAACCUUACUUAUAUAAAUUCUUGUAUACCACUGUUAAGGAUAUAUUAUAAGAUAAUAACCGUGAAAAAUUAAUAUUUAUAAUUUCAAGUCAAGGUGCAGUAAUAUAUAAGAUGAAUAAUGGAUUACAAAAAAUUGUAUUUAAAACGAAUAAAAAUUGAAAUAUGAAUUUGAAGGUGGAUUUAAUUGUAAAUUUUAAAAGAUUAUAAAAUUGAUUUAUGCUCUAUAAUAUGUACACAUC
RNAcentral lists this ribosomal RNA (365 nucleotides) under Acontista amoenula. RNAcentral's name for it is "partial 12S ribosomal RNA". Lineage: Eukaryota; Metazoa; Arthropoda; Insecta; Mantodea; Acanthopidae. The record is from RNAcentral.